This is a long non-coding RNA of Oncorhynchus kisutch (coho salmon), 2847 nucleotides long. RefSeq lists it as uncharacterized. NCBI's taxonomy places the organism in Eukaryota, Metazoa, Chordata, Actinopteri, Salmoniformes, Salmonidae. The record is from RefSeq and is a predicted model, not a curated record. The transcript has 2 exons.
UUUGCAUUGUAUUAUGUAGUGCUAUGUAUUUUAUUUAUUGUGUUUUGUUUCCUGUUUGGACCCCAGGAAAAGAAUUGGGGAUCCUAAUAAGAUACAAAAUAUUUAAUACUAAACUGAGCUAAGUUAGACUUAACUACACUGACUGAACGGAUUAGGACUGAAAUGAACAUAAUCAUUUUACUGAACUGAGUUGGAUUGAACUAGACUGAAUGACUAAAAUGAAUUGAGUUGGACAGCACCUGUUACAUCUGCUCCUGCCAAGCCCUCUACUUUUCAUCCUAUGUCUCCCUAACCUGCUGCCACUCCCCCAGUGCUCUCUCCAUCUCUCUCUCUGAGUGGGUGUAUGUGAUUGUGUGAGUGAUUGUGUGAGUGGAAACAGGUGCUGGAGGCAGAGAAGAUCCCCACCAGCUGCAACCUGUUCCAUAAUCAAGACCUCUACAAAAGCCCUGCCACUUCCAUGCUGCCAGAUCGUAGCAUCUGCUCAUUCCAUCAGUACUGACUCUGGUCCCGGGCUCCAGUCACUUGUCUCGUCAGUCCUGCUUCCCUGUCCUGGAGCCCCGCUCUACUGCUUCCAUGGAUUCUGCUCCGGCCCUGCUUACCCUGCCCCUACUCCCCUUGCCUCAGCCUCAAUUCCUGGUUCCCUACUACCCACCUGAGCUUCCCUUGGCCUGCACCACAGCUGUUCAAUAAUCCCAUGUAGGCUAGCCUACCUGCACUAUCUGCCAGCUGUUGGCUAGAGAGCACGUGCCAAGACCAGCGAGGCACAGUUGCUAUUUAGCACAAUAGUUUUUAUGACAUAACCAUCGGUAGAGUUGAAAAUAUUUUCUUUAUGCAGUUUUUAGAAUAUUCACAUGAAAAUAUGUUGCCAAUUGGAUGGAAACCUAGCUGGUUUCUCCCUAGGUAACUAGGUCCAGUAAUUUUUGAAGUUUAAACAGCUAACAUUCUCUAAAGAACACAGUUACUGACACUUGUUUGGAACAUUGAACGGAGAGGUCAACCAAUGGACACUCACCUGGUCUUUCUCUGGUUUGUCGGAGAUGUCGUUCAUGCUGCUUGAGGCCAGGUUCCGAUGUGUGGUGGCUGGACUGCCUAUGAGUGAACAACAGCCUUGAAGGUUAACAACCUACUCUGCUGUUAAAGACUGGACUGAAUGGAGACAGCAAAACACACAGUGUACCAGCCUACACUUCAAAUUGCAGGGUGGAGAUACUGCUGAAGGCAAUACAUCUGUGAACAUAAAUCUGAUGCCACUGUAGUGAUUCAACAGGUUGUUACCUCGUUCCUCUGGAUAGAUAGAGGGGGACAGUCCAUUUGAUGCACCCAGAGGAAAAUGGCAUUUUCAAUGUUGUCACUGGGGAAAAAUACCUUCUCAAAAAGUAGGGUGUGAAUAACAUUCAGACUUGGUGUUAAUCUGUGUGGACUAAGUAUACUGAAGUGUGGACUGGGUAGAAUGGACUAAAUUUGGAUGACAACUGUCAGAAUUGAAUUCCAGUCAUCUAAGAUCUAUCAUGGAGGACAGAUAAGCGGCUCUAUUCUGGCCUAAUGAGGCAGAUUCCUCAUGAAAGAAAAUAACUUCUGUGUGAUAGGAUACAGUGGGGGAAAGGGGACAGCUGGUUGUUUGGCUCUAUGGACCAACAGUAGUUCCAGAAUUCUAAUGAGAACAUACUUGGCCAGUCUAUGAUGCUGGAGAUCUACAAUACAGUAGCAUGACUUACUAAGCCAGUCCAUGCUGGGGCUUCGUUGGGUCUGCAGCUCCUCCAUUGAGGCACGGACUGUUAGACAAGGCACUGAGUUUUCAAGCGGACUACGGGCUUAAAUGGCAGAACCCAACCCACGGAAGACAGAAGUAGAGGGAGCAGGAGGAAUGGAAGAAAGGAAAGAAAGAAGGAGGGAGGGAGAAAAAUAGUGGAUUAAUCAAAGGGCAAGUGUUAGUUAGACAGACAGAUGCAGUGGAAUUAUACAGUGUUAGUUAGACAGAAUCAAAUGAGUAAGGGUAGGGUUAAAAGAGAAGCAGCUAGAACAGGAUGUGAUAGAUUAACUGGUGAAGCAAAGUGAAAGAUGGUUAUCUGGAAAGAACACAGUUUCGGGUUGGACAUACUUAGUUACAUUGGAUCUGUAAUGUUAGACCACAAUACUGACCUCCCAAGCAAAAGGCAGUAACUGCUCAUUUGGUCAAAAAUGAGUUAGUCAUUUUUGCUACAUUAUAUAAACGCUUAAUCUCAUGGACAAGUAUCCUGCCUCUAUUGUAUUGUGUUCAGGAGAACAUGGGGGUGAUGUUAGCAGUAACUGUAUAAAGUUACUGUGAAACCAACCUGGUAUUAUAUAGUGUAUUUUAUUGAAAUCCAAAGCUAGAUGAUACACACAAAUCGAUGUGAAAAAUUCUACCAAAUAAUUAAAAUGUCCUUUUCACUACUACAACAACAUAUCAAUAAAACAGGUCGAUGACUUCCAUGUUCCAUUAACCAAUCAUUGUCAUAAAUGUCAGAGCAGGUAAUAAAUGAUUAUUUACAGACCCAUUUACAGACCUGGGCAACUGAUCACCUUCCAUGUUAAAUACCAUGAAAUCUGUUCCAACCAUAUAUUUAUUUGAUUUAUCAUUGAUUAAUAUAGUCAAACAAACAUCUGUGUGUGAUGAUGAAUUCAGUGUUAUGAUUUUACAGCAAUGAAAGAUUAAAUGAAAAGUUCAACUCCAGAACAGCCUCAGCUUAACUAAAUUAAUUCUACAUCUAAACUGAUGUGAAUGACUUGGUUCUGCUGUUCUGCAAUAGAGCAUCCAUGUUCGAUAAGGAACUAUGUUCAGUACAGUUCACUUGAGGUUUAGGACUUUUCGUUCCAUUUCCUAAAUGU